AUGGAUGAGAAUAUACCAGCAAGGGGUUACCCAAGGAGUUCCCGCAAAAUGGUUAGUUGCUUCCAUCAGUACAAAGUUGAAAUAUUCAAUGAGGUUCUUGAUAGAAACAUAGCUGAGAUGAAUAACCAGUUCAGUGAAACUUCAACAAGGUUAUUGAUAUGCAUUGCUAGUCUAGAUCCUAGAGACUCAUUUAGCAGAUUUAAUCAUGAGAACCUACUUGAGCUUGCAUCUAUGUACUCAGUCGAGUUCGAUCCAGAAGAACAAUAUCAUUUGGACGGUCAGCUCAAGAUAUACACUGAUAUGAUGAAAAGGUCUGAUGUUUUUUGCAGUUGCGGCAGUCUCCCUAAUCUUGCUCUCAAGUUGGUUGAAACUAAGGAACAUUUACACUUUCCUUUGGUUUACCGACUCAUCACACUUGCUUUGACUUUGCCAGUAGCGACGACAUCUGUUGAAAGAGUUUUCUUAGCCAUGAAUAUCAUUAAGACAGAUUUGAGAAAUAAGAUAGCUGAUGAUUGGUUGAAUGAUCUGAUGAUAUGCUAUGUAGAGCGAGGUAUAUUUGCUGGAAUUGAUGACAAGAAGAUCAUAGAACAUUUUCACAGCUUGAGAGACCGUAGAGGCCAUCUACCAAACCCUCACCGUAUCUAUUAG
This 648-nucleotide ribosomal RNA is filed under the name Triticum aestivum (bread wheat). RNAcentral's name for it is "partial small subunit ribosomal RNA". The record is from RNAcentral. Lineage: Eukaryota; Viridiplantae; Streptophyta; Magnoliopsida; Poales; Poaceae.